AGGUAGAAUGGCCGAGAGUAUAGGCGGCAGGCUGUAGACCUGUUUACAAAGGCUUAAGUCCUUUUUUUAU
RNAcentral lists this transfer RNA (70 nucleotides) under Underwoodisaurus milii. RNAcentral's name for it is "tRNA-Tyr". It matches the Rfam family "tRNA". Rfam says of the family: Transfer RNA (tRNA) molecules are approximately 80 nucleotides in length. Lineage: Eukaryota; Metazoa; Chordata; Lepidosauria; Squamata; Carphodactylidae. The record is from RNAcentral.